RNAcentral lists this transfer-messenger RNA (362 nucleotides) under Pantoea sp. Mhis. It matches the Rfam family "transfer-messenger RNA". From Rfam's summary of the family: Bacterial tmRNA, also known as 10Sa RNA or SsrA, is named for its dual tRNA and mRNA-like properties. Its role is to liberate the mRNA from a stalled ribosome. To accomplish this part of the tmRNA is used as a reading frame that ends in a translation stop signal. Lineage: Bacteria; Pseudomonadati; Pseudomonadota; Gammaproteobacteria; Enterobacterales; Erwiniaceae. The record is from Rfam by way of RNAcentral.
GGGGCUGAUUAUGGAUUCGACGAAAUUAUCAAACUUUAAAGUGCAUGCCGAGGUACGGUGGCCUCGUUAAAAACCGUAAAAAAUAGUCGCAAACGAAGAAAACUACGCUUUAGCAGCUUAAUAAACUAGUUAAAGCCCUUUUUCCCUAACUAUGCUCUUAGCCUAGGGAAUAUAAAGGUUAAAUUUAAAAGAGAUCGCGUUAAUUAAUUUACUUGAGAUUAAUACGUUAAAUUUAAUCAAGUUAGUUUGUUAGUAGCGAGUCUGAACGCAGCUGAUAAGCAAAUAUUAAAGAUCAGACUAAGCAUGUAGUACUUAGGAGGUAGAAGUUUCGGACGCGGGUUCAACUCCCGCCAGCUCCAAUA